This 861-nucleotide ribosomal RNA is filed under the name uncultured bacterium. RNAcentral describes it as "bacterial SSU rRNA". It matches the Rfam family "Bacterial small subunit ribosomal RNA", at positions 1 to 856 of the family's 1533-position model. The record is from RNAcentral.
GGAUCCAGACUUUGAUCAUGGCUCAGGAUGAACGCUAGCUACAGGCUUAACACAUGCAAGUCGAGGGGCAGCAUGAACUUAGCUUGCUAAGUUUGAUGGCGACCGGCGCACGGGUGAGUAACACGUAUCCAACCUGCCGAUGACUCGGGGAUAGCCUUUCGAAAGAAAGAUUAAUACCCGAUGGCAUAGUUCUUCCGCAUGGUAGAACUAUUAAAGAAUUUCGGUCAUCGAUGGGGAUGCGUUCCAUUAGGUUGUUGGCGGGGUAACGGCCCACCAAGCCUUCGAUGGAUAGGGGUUCUGAGAGGAAGGUCCCCCACAUUGGAACUGAGACACGGUCCAAACUCCUACGGGAGGCAGCAGUGAGGAAUAUUGGUCAAUGGACGAGAGUCUGAACCAGCCAAGUAGCGUGAAGGAUGACUGCCCUAUGGGUUGUAAACUUCUUUUAUACGGGAAUAAAGUGAGGCACGUGUGCCUUUUUGUAUGUACCGUAUGAAUAAGGAGCGGCUAACUCCGUGCCAGCAGCCGCGGUAAUACGGAGGAUCCGAGCGUUAUCCGGAUUUAUUGGGUUUAAAGGGAGCGUAGGCGGACGCUUAAGUCAGUUGUGAAAGUUUGCGGCUCAACCGUAAAAUUGCAGUUGAUACUGGGUGUCUUGAGUACAGUAGAGGCAGGCGGAAUUCGUGGUGUAGCGGUGAAAUGCUUAGAUAUCACGAAGAACUCCGAUUGCGAAGGCAGCCUGCUGGACUGUAACUGACGCUGAUGCUCGAAAGUGUGGGUAUCAAACAGGAUUAGAUACCCUGGUAGUCCACACAGUAAACGAUGAAUACUCGCUGUUUGCGAUAUACAGUAAGCGGCCAAGCGAAA